RNAcentral lists this unclassified non-coding RNA (1292 nucleotides) under Hevea brasiliensis (rubber tree). The record is from RNAcentral. Lineage: Eukaryota; Viridiplantae; Streptophyta; Magnoliopsida; Malpighiales; Euphorbiaceae.
ACAAAGUCUUAGCUGAGCUCUCUAUUCUACAAAUCACGGAGCCCUUAGAUGGAAUACAAAGCCUAGAUAAGAAUUAAUUGAAUCGAAGACCGAUUAGUCUCCGUCCGAAAUUGUCUUCUAUCUUAAGUUUUGGUCAGAGACUUGGGAAGUGGAGUUGCAGUUCCAGGUACGAUAUUAGGGUUUAUGCGUAUCAAUUUCGUUGCUCUUUUCAUAUGCGUGUAAUUUGUAUUUUUCUGAUUUGGUGGUUUAAAUUCUGGCAGUAAUCAGUUGAGAUUGCUGUUAAAAAUUCAAAUGGACUGCAGUUUUUGGGAUUUUUAGGUUUGAUUGCUGUUUAAUGUUCGUAAUAUUAGGGUAUGGAUGCGAUAUAGGACAUUGGAGUUUUAGGAUUCAUACUGGAAAUAUAAAUACUUGUCCUUUUCAGAUUAAAAAAUGCAGUACAGAAAGUGAUUUUCUGCAAUUUUACUCCUUGGUAGUCUUUCUUGAUUCGACAAGAUGUCGGCUUAUGAGAAUGUUGUGGGUGGGAAGCUGAAACUUAAGGGAAAAGCCUUGAAUGUGAAGCCCGGUGGACUGAAGAAAAAAAAGAAACAGAAGAAACACCAAGAUCAAGUUUCUCAAGUCUUGGAAAAUGAGCUUUCUGCAGGUUUGAUAUCCUUCUUUGCUCGUCAAAUUUAAUUUGGUCUCACAGUUCAUAUUCAUUUCUUCAAUAUUUUCUCUUCAAUUAUUGUAUGGAAAAUGCUCAGAGAUUGCGACUGUUAUGCUCUGAGCCGCCAAUGUAGCUUGGGCAAGGUUGUGUCAACUAACAUAAUUUAUUGUAUUACGUUAGUCUGUAAAGCAAGUCAGGGAACAAAGCCACCCGUGAAAUUUGUCCCUUGUGAGCUUGACUCUAGGCAUUAAGGGAGUAAAAUAGAUGGAAUAAAUUUGUCCCUUGUAACAGCAAUUGUUGCUGAAUGACCUCAAGAUUACUGCAUGCUAACCUUGGGGUUAAAGCAUUUUUAAAUAAUGUUGUAGUCAUCUAUACCCUUUUGCUGAAUACAAGGUUUAGGAUGAUUAGUUAUUGUGCUGUUGAUUAAUGCAUUAUCGGAAGAGGCCUAUUUUUGGUCUUCUUUGUAAACCUUGAUUUCUGCUUGUUAAUUUUUGUACUGGAUUUCAAUAAAAGAUUACUUGAGGAUUGGUAAUGAUUGUGCUGACAGUGUCAAGCAGAUGAUACUUUGCUCUUUAGUCUUACUUUCCAAAUAUCUAUCUCAACUUUGAAUCACCAUUCCUUUUGGUAUGUGGUGCAGAGGGAAACACAG